AAUUGCGAUUGGAACGCCAGGAGAAGCUAGCGGUCGAGAUGCGAUCAGAGCGGCUUUUGCUGAGUUUUUCUCCAUGGUUAUAUUCGUUUUCGCCGGUCAAGGCUCCGGCAUGGCUUACGGAAAGCUAACUGGAGACGGUCCAGCCACACCUUCUGGUCUAGUGGCCGCGUCUUUGUCUCAUGCGUUUGCAUUGUUCGUGGCGGUUUCCGUUGGAGCAAACGUUUCAGGCGGCCACGUGAAUCCCGCGGUUACGUUUGGAGCUUUUAUAGGUGGGAACAUCACGUUGUUGAGAGCUAUUCUUUAUUGGAUUGCUCAGUUACUUGGAGCAGUAGUAGCUUGCUUGUUGCUCAAGGUAAGUACUGGAGGGAUGGAAACGGCAGCGUUUUCGCUCUCUCAUGGAGUCACACCGUGGAACGCAGUCGUUUUCGAGAUUGUGAUGACGUUUGGGUUGGUUUACACUGUUUACGCUACUGCCGUGGAUCCCAAGAAAGGUGAUAUUGGAAUCAUUGCUCCUUUAGCGAUUGGGUUAAUCGUUGGAGCUAAUAUUCUCGUUGGUGGUGCGUUUGAUGGUGCGUCGAUGAACCCGGCCGUUUCGUUCGGUCCUGCCGUGGUUAGCUGGACCUGGACGAACCAUUGGGUCUAUUGGGUCGGUCCAUUUAUUGGUGCAGCCAUUGCAGCUAUUGUUUAUGACACUAUCUUUAUUGAUAGUAAUGGACAUGAACCACUUCCUUCUAGUGAUUUCUAAGUUAGGGUUUUUUCUGAUUUCUUCAAAAACAAGAAAGCUGAUGUUGUACUGAUGAGAGAGGUGUAUGUUUUUAACUCUGAUGCGUGUUUUUUUAUUAUGUUUGUAGCAUGUGGCUAAAGAUGUUACUUUUUACUACUUUGUGUUUCUUUAAGUGAUUAAUAAAUAAAAUAUUGGAAUUCCCAUAUACUAUUUAAAUUGGAUUGGAUUAAUGUGCGCGGGGUUUACGUAGUAUCAGUUCACACGUAAGAAAUCAUGUGCAGCGAAAUUGAUUGGAGAGUAUAUUCUUGAGAUAAUGCUCCCAUGGUGACAACAAAUAAAAUAUAAUAGGACCCGCCAUUAUAAUACAAUUGAGAAUAUAUUAUGGAUAAUGGAUGGUUGGUUCGUCCAUGCACGUUCUAUGUGUGAAUCUUAGCUAAUGAUGUUUUUAGUGGAUAUAGGAAUUGUUUACACAAAAAAAAAUAUUCAAACAAAAAAAACUAAAUGUGCACAAGAACAAGAAAAAAAAUAUGAUGUCUAAGAAUUGUUCAGUCAAUUAGCUAGAGACUAUCACAAGAUUAUUGCUUCAGCAGUAAAUAAUUUACGUUUAGUGAAAAUGAGAAGCCUUCAAAAACAUUGUUUGAAAAUAACAAAUUGGAAUAUGAAUAUAUGUGACUAAUUGCAUUCGUAUGAACGUAUAUCGUCGGUGUCCCGGUUUUUCCAACGCGUUUGGAGUUGCAUGCACGUUCAACCAAAGUGCGAUGACCUGAUUUAGUUCUUAAUCCGUCAAUAAUUAUGAGUACUAUUGUUUAUUCAUCGUGGAUUUAUAGAGAGAUAUAUUAAUGGUCGUACGUAGGAUAGGAUAUACCAUGAUUAUCAUAUCAUUAUAUCAUACUCAAUAUUUUAUAUAAAAAAUCAGAAGUCGGAUCGAUAACGAACUAUAAUAUUGUUGUAUAUUACUCCUAUUUGUUCAUAUCAUUCGAUCGAUGAGCUAAAAGUCUACAUAAGAAAGUUAUCAUUAUAAUACGAAUUUUCAUUUAUUUAACUAUUGUUCAAUUAAUUAUACAUACCGUCACAAGAUAUUUUAACUAAAUUAAAUCUCAACAUACUGUGUAAUCACGUGCGUUAAUCAAAUAGAUCAUCGUAUGUUGUAUUUUAUCAUGGCUCUGUUAGCUAUACUUUCUUGUCAUGUACGAACGAUUGACGCCAAAAAAAGUUCAAUUUUCUGAAGAAGAAUUUCCUAAUAUUCGUCAAAAAGUCAUUACUGUUGAAUAAUAGUAACUGAGAUAAAAGGUUUAUAAGUAUUAUUAUAUAUCUUUAUUUCUGAGUAAUAAAGAGAGAGAGAUGGACGUGAGAUGUGAGUGAGAGAGAGAGUUAUAUCAUUGACUUUUUCAUUUCAUAUAUCUGAUACAAUUGCACAUCACACUCCUAUUUAUAGCAUGAGUAAGUCGGUCUUGUUCAGAUAUUUUACAAAAGGAAAUAUGUGAUGUAGACACAUGUAUAGUGAUACUAAUCACAUACGUUUGAUGGAAGUGAGACAAGUGUUUUCAUGAUGAAUAAUCAUCUUUUGCAAUAAUUACAAUAGUUUAUAUGACGAAUUACUUUUCUUUUUGGUCGGUAUCGAAUCACAAACUCGUCUAAACCCUAUAGUAUAUUAAAUGAAAUAUAAACAAAGUUGAUCAAAAUCUCGAAUCCAUUAGUGGGCUGUAAAGGCUCUAUAAGAAGCCUCUCGCAUUCACAAAUAUGACCCUCGGGGCCUACUAAAAGUAAAGCACAGGAAUCUUUACUAAGAUAGAAAACACCACGCGUCGCUUAAAAAUGAAACAUACACUCGCUCGUUAAUUUCACAUGGGGGGCGUGCCAUGCAGAACGUUCGGCUCAUCUAAGCUGGGUUUAGGCCCUCUAUCUGUAGCUUCACUGGGCUUUAACCUUCUUUAAUAUGACUUUCUAUAGAGCCCAAAAAGAAUAGUACACAUCAUUCAGUAAUUAUUUUCUUUUUAUUUCGGAAAAUUAUCUGUACUUUACCAAUGGUUUGACUUUGACUAUAAAAUUUGGAAGAGAUCUAGGGUUGUUGCCAGUGGAUGAUGUCAGACGUCUGAUCUUGUCUUGCACACAAUAUUUCAAUAAUGUGUAAUUGCUGUCGGUAUAAUAUGUUUUGGGUUGAUAUUAUUAUUCAAGUAUUUUGUCAUUUUAUUAGUUUUCUGAAUAGGUUUCCCGCUUCUGUAAAUUUUAUUUUCAAAAUAGAUGAUUAAAAUACUGAAAAAGUAAUGUGCAGUAGUAGUAAGUAGGCUGAAGUUUACGUUUUAGAUAGAAGUGAGACGGAUGUGUCAAUGAGACUUAGCUCUGACCAUAGAGACGGAUGUGCCAAUGAGACUUCGCUCUAACCAUAGACUCCACUUUAUGAUACUUUCGAAACAUUGGAAUAGUAAAUUUUUUCUUUUUCCUCUGCUACAAAAUCUGAGAUUUGCAGAGCAAAAAAUUUGGCAGGAAUGUUCUUGUUUUAUCUCCUCAGGGUGUGAAGAAUGUACUCAGCGUAAAGGUCCCUAUAAAUAAUUUUAAAACCAAGAUUAUUUUUAUGUCAACAUAUUUGUUAAUAAAAAUAAUUGAAAUUUCUAAAUAAAAAACGUUACAUUGAGUACUGAAUGGCUUCAACGGCAGGACCAUUCGGUAGAAAAUCAUUUACAGCGACUUCCUUGUUCUCAUUCUUCUUGUCUGUUAAUUUUUUUGUUAAAGGUAACCGCAAAAUCAAUGGUUUAUUUAUUUACUAAUGAAGAAGAAAAUUAAGAUUUAAAUAUUGAAGAAAUAAAGGAUACAAUCUUCAAAGAAUCGCCGGAUUUCUGAGAGACGAUGAGGUGGAAGUUCUUUGAUGUCAGUGUAAUGCUUAUACUCAGGAUCAUCAACACAAACCGCAAUGAUCUUGUCAUCUUUUUCUCCCUUUAUUACAAGACAAUUACUCAGAAUGCUUACACAACUUGUAACCAAAAGGAUCAACCAGAGAUUUGAAAUGUUACCUGAUCAAUCAUAGGCAUUAAUCCGAUAGCUCGUGCGCGCAGGAAACAACCUGGAAGCACAGGCUCCUGAACAGAAAGAACUUUCUUUAAUAUAUGGAUUUGGUUUUGUUUUGUUAGUAUGUUGAAGUUGAAGAUAAGACUUAAAACCUGCAUGAUGACUAACACAUCUAAAGGGUCAUUGUCUUCACAUAAUGUGCGGGGGAUAAAACCGUAGUUAUGAGGAUACACGACCGAUGAAUAUAGGAUCCGAUCAACCUGAGAGACAAAUCAAGUUUGUUAAGGAAAGCAGCCCAAGUCCAUUAUUAGCCCAUGUGUUUAGGGUUUUGUGGUCUCAUAUAUAUACAUGCUUGUAGCUUCCAUAUCUUGGAACUUUGGCUGUCAUGGUUGCAGCCACAUCAAAAACAUCUUUUAUGAUAUCAAUCCAUCUUCUUAGCUCUUGGUGACAAUCUAAAGUUUUUCCCUUUCUUACUCUUUAUAUUUCAAUAAAGCUCAUUGAGCUAUCUCUAGUUUAUGUUUCAAUAAAGUCCUUUGGACACAAAUCUAUCUUGUUCUACAAAUGUUCUCAAAGUUGUUAGAGAGUUUUCAUUUCCCUGAAAUAAUAUUAGAUCAUUUUUUUCUCUAGUUUUUUUGUGAACAUUUUUUUUUUAAACUCUUAAACCGUUUAUAUUAGGAAACAGAAAGAGUACUACUUGUUAACAGCAGAUACUAGCGGAAAUGGCUAUUAUGUGGAUAUAAAGUAACCGCUAGCCAGGCAAAAUAUUACAAAUGACUAGGUUAUUUUUACCUUGAUGAGUCCUGUCUUUUUGUCAAGUUCAUAUUUGACCUUGCUACCUUUUGAGAUCUCAAUAACCUAAAUUUAAUUCAAAUAUCCAAAUGAUUCAAUAUCAGAUUCUGUUUUGUGAUCUUAACAUCAUUUCAGAUUAAUAUCACAUCAUCAAGCAUAAGACUUACCACAUUGAAGAUCGACGGAGCUCCAGGUCCUGCAUACAAAUUUCGUUUUUCUCAAGAAUAUUAUAGUUAAAAAAGACUUCAAAAUCAUUACCUAUAAGACUCAGAACAGAAUAUAUAUAUAUAUAUGUAAGUUUUUAUUAAUCUAAUGAUAAGUGAUUUUACCGAUUUCAAGAUCAUGCCAUGGAUGAGCAGCAACCGAUCUCCUUGAUAAAGAUGAGAGUAUUCUCUCGUUCAAACGUGGAGCUGUUCUCUGAAGCUUGUCAAAUUGAUUCUCUUUCACUUCUUCACUCAUCUAACAAACAGAGCAAUUCAAGAAAACAAACCAAAUGUUUAGAUUCAAUGACUUGUGACUUCUUGAAUUCACGUCUAAAUCAGGAUAUGUUGCUUAACUAUUGAUUUCAUAUUAAAUAGGAUCCAUUACUCAAAAGAUUGACCACUCAAAGUCAUAUUCUACUACAACUAAUCAACAAAACCCUACAACAUAUCGUAAUCCAUCAAUCAUCUUCAACCUAAGAUAAUCUAGAGCGUCAAAACAUCAAAAGAUUGAGAUCUAAGAAGCAAAAAAGAAGAACCAAAGAAAGUCUUCGUACCUUGGAACAACAGAUGUUUCAAGAACAGAACAGUCUUGCGGAAAGUAUGGAGAAAGCCAACUAACGAGGCAAAGAAAACAGUAAAGCGCGUGGUCUGCAAUUGCGAGCUAUAACCUUAUUUAUAGAAAGCGAGAAACACGGGUUUAGUUGUUUAACUGAUUAAUUAAUCAAGACUAGUAAUCACCGUUCGAUCUCUCAAAACUAGGGGCCCACCGUGAAACACUAAUCUUAGUCUCUUGAACGAUUCUCCAACACACACGUCUCACUCCCUCUUUAACUAUAUAAACUCAAGUGACAAACCACAAAAGAAAAGCAAGAAAACAAAACGCUUUUUUUUGUAGCAAAAUGGCUAUCAAUAGAAUUGCGAUUGGAACGCCAGGAGAAGCUAGCGGUCGAGAUGCGAUCAGAGCGGCUUUUGCUGAGUUUUUCUCCAUGGUUAUAUUCGUUUUCGCCGGUCAAGGCUCCGGCAUGGCUUACGGAAAGCUAACUGGAGACGGUCCAGCCACACCUUCUGGUCUAGUGGCCGCGUCUUUGUCUCAUGCGUUUGCAUUGUUCGUGGCGGUUUCCGUUGGAGCAAACGUUUCAGGCGGCCACGUGAAUCCCGCGGUUACGUUUGGAGCUUUUAUAGGUGGGAACAUCACGUUGUUGAGAGCUA
RNAcentral lists this long non-coding RNA (5928 nucleotides) under Brassica napus (rape). RNAcentral's name for it is "long non-coding RNA (BNAP_LNC005645)". Lineage: Eukaryota; Viridiplantae; Streptophyta; Magnoliopsida; Brassicales; Brassicaceae. The record is from RNAcentral.